GACGAACGCUGGCGGCGUGCUUAACACAUGCAAGUCGAGCGGUAAGGCCCUUUCGGGGGUACACGAGCGGCGAACGGGUGAGUAACACGUGGGUGACCUGCCCUCAGCUCUGGGAUAAGCCUGGGAAACCGGGUCUAAUACUGGAUAUGACUCCAUGACGCAUGUUGGUGGGGUGGAAAGCCUUGUGCGGCUGAGGAUGGGCCCGCGGCCUAUCAGCUUGUUGGGUGGGGUGACGGCCUACCAAGGCGACGACGGGUAGCCGGCCUGAGAGGGCGACCGGCCACACUGGGACUGAGACACGGCCCAGACUCCUACGGGAGGCAGCA
RNAcentral lists this ribosomal RNA (326 nucleotides) under uncultured bacterium. RNAcentral's name for it is "bacterial SSU rRNA". It matches the Rfam family "Bacterial small subunit ribosomal RNA", at positions 28 to 353 of the family's 1533-position model. The record is from RNAcentral.